AACAGCCACAGCUUCGGCGGCGGCGGCGGCGACCCAAGGGCUGUGCCACCUUUCCAGCUGUUUCCACAUCUGCUCAGGCAUCCCCAGCCCUAGCGACUAGCCCACCCCACAGUCUCCUGCCUCCUAGGCUGCACUACAGCGGAUCAGAGGGAUCCUCUCUAACGCUAACAGAGAAAAACUGACCCCUCCUUCUCUCCUCCUCCUCCUAAGCUGUGAGUCUGUGGGCCUGGCCAGAUUGCUGGAAUGAGGAGGCCCCUCUGUGGCCUGCAAUGGAGUUUACCCACCUGGGAAAAUUCACUUAGUUCAAGCCAUCAAGCUAAAGGAGGAACACAGGUCUAGACGCAGCAGGUGUCGAUAACUUGGACGUGACAGAACACUCUGACCCCGAACCAGCUGAGAUAUUUCCUCUGGACAUCAGUCAUGGGGACCACAAGAGGCUGAGCAUCGCAAAUAAGGAAGUGGAAUCCCAGAAUCCGUGCCAGAGUGCAGGCAGGUCACUGGGGUAGGCAGGCGGCUGGGUGAGUCACAGGAGGGAUAUAAAACUGACUUCCCUUUGUGGGUGCCUUCAUUCACGUCUUCGCCAGACAGGAAAGGGGGGAGGAAAAAUCUCUGAGAAGGAAAUCCUUAAGGACGGAAUAUACUCACGCUUCAAAAUGAAUGACUAGAGCCAACAUAAAGCCUCAGGUGGUCCCCUUGCAAUCUACCUUUGCCAUACGUGACAAACCAGAUGUCAGCCAGAUGUGUCGGAUCACACCCACUCGUCACACCACCCAUUCUCCAUGAGGCGGAAGGGAGAUGGCCAUCCAGGAAAACCAUCCACCAGAACUAAGGGUAGCAGAGCCAAUGGCCCUUCUCUAUGCUACUGGAAUAUUUUUCUGGUCUCUGCUACAUUUAACAUCUCCUACCUGUUAUCCAAGCAUACUGUGGGCCAAAGUCUGACCUGUUCAGUAUAGGCUAGUGCUCCUGACUGUACUUCUGUCCCAAGAGGGGCUGCUUGGGGUUCUAGUGGACAGACGCAAAAGGACCAAAGUGGUUCCUGCCUGGAGGAAAGUCCCCAUCCUUGACCUGUUCUGAAUCUAUGUCAAAGCCCGCUCCCCACUCCGCAGGUUCUUCCCAAUGCCUUGAGCGACCUCCACAGUUAGCCCAAGUGCACCUGGUGAGCCCAGAUCUCCAUCCCAAAGUGACUCAUCCGGUCAUCCAUGCCAAAUUUGUUCCGAAUCCUCCAGCUCUUACUUGGCUUGAGAAGAACCAGGGUUAGAAAGAAAAACAUUUUCAGUCUGGAUUUGGUCAACAAAGCUCUCAGCACUGGUACUUCAUCCGGAGACACUUGGGCCGACGGUGCAUUCCCAUAACUUUCCUUUCUCUUCUUUUCUGGCUUUUCCCUCCAAGUUUCCAAUGCUUUGCAUUCUUACAUCUGCAGGCACCCUAACAGCACCGUGUCUCGAAGCACACUGUGUAUCUGAACCAUUUACUUAGCUGGUUAAAGGUGUAAGCGUCAGAGGAUCUAAAGCACUCGGCAGGCAAAGGCAGGUGGAUCUCUGUGGGUUCGAGGCCAGCCUGGUCUACAGAGCACAUUCCAGAACAGCUGGGGCUACACAGAAAAACCCUGUCUCAGAAGAGAGAGACAGAGAAAAUAUUCCUUAUCUUGAUGGUUUGGGGUGCCAGAGAGAUGGCUCUGUGGUUAGAAGCAUGCAUUGCUCUUGCCAAGAACCUGAAUUUGGUUCCCUGGCGCCCAACUCAUGUAGCCACAACCACCUGUGACUCCAGCUCCCAGUGACCUGCAUUCAACCAUGCACAUAUGCAAAUACACAUACACACAUAACUAAAAAAAUAAAACCUUUUAA
This is a long non-coding RNA of Mus musculus (house mouse), 1844 nucleotides long. RefSeq annotates it as predicted gene, 52040. The record is from RefSeq and is a predicted model, not a curated record. The transcript is spliced from 3 exons. Lineage: Eukaryota; Metazoa; Chordata; Mammalia; Rodentia; Muridae.